CUCUUAGAAGAUCCAUCUCAGGAUUUUAUGAAUCGACAUCGCAUCAUUCAAAUGAAGCUUGAUUUGAAUCAAACAUCAGUCUACUUUCUAUUAAAAGCCCUA
Long non-coding RNA from Etheostoma spectabile (orangethroat darter), 102 nucleotides. RefSeq lists it as uncharacterized. NCBI's taxonomy places the organism in Eukaryota, Metazoa, Chordata, Actinopteri, Perciformes, Percidae. The transcript has 3 exons. The record is from RefSeq and is a predicted model, not a curated record.